This 429-nucleotide ribosomal RNA is filed under the name uncultured Enterobacteriaceae bacterium. Its description in RNAcentral is "bacterial SSU rRNA". It matches the Rfam family "Bacterial small subunit ribosomal RNA", at positions 952 to 1382 of the family's 1533-position model. The record is from RNAcentral. Lineage: Bacteria; Pseudomonadati; Pseudomonadota; Gammaproteobacteria; Enterobacterales; Enterobacteriaceae.
CGAUGCAACGCGAAGAACCUUACCUGGUCUUGACAUCCACGGAAGUUUUCAGAGAUGAGAAUGUGCCUUCGGGAACCGUGAGACAGGUGCUGCAUGGCUGUCGUCAGCUCGUGUUGUGAAAUGUUGGGUUAAGUCCCGCAACGAGCGCAACCCUUAUCCUUUGUUGCCAGCGGUCCGGCCGGGAACUCAAAGGAGACUGCCAGUGAUAAACUGGAGGAAGGUGGGAUGACGUCAAGUCAUCAUGGCCCUUACGACCAGGGCUACACACGUGCUACAAUGGCGCAUACAAAGAGAAGCGACCUCGCGAGAGCAAGCGGACCUCAUAAAGUGCGUCGUAGUCCGGAUUGGAGUCUGCAACUCGACUCCAUGAAGUCGGAAUCGCUAGUAAUCGUAGAUCAGAAUGCUACGGUGAAUACGUUCCCGGGCCUU